Molecule: unclassified non-coding RNA, 263 nt
Filed under: plant metagenome
Description: partial contains small subunit ribosomal RNA, internal transcribed spacer 1, and 5.8S ribosomal RNA
Source: RNAcentral
UUUCCGCAGGUGAACCUGCGGAAGGAUCAUUAUUGUAUAACCGAGGUGCGAGGGCUGUCGCUGACCCGAAAGGUCGUGCACGCCCGAGUGCCCUCACACACAUCCAUCUCACCCCUAUAUGCACCACCGCGUGGGUCCCCCUUUGGCUUGUUCGGAGGGGGGCUUACGUUUUCACACAAACUUUGUAUGCAGUGUAGAAUGUAUUUUUUGUUCUUGCGAUCACGCAAUCAAUACAACUUUCAACAACGGAUCUCUUGGCUCUC